AUGAACGUUGGCGGCGUGGAUUAGGCAUGCAAGUCGAGCGAGAACCCAGCAAUGGGGGACAGCGGCGCAAGGGACAGUAAUGUGUAGAUCAUCUGCCCUCAGGCCCGGGAUAGCUGCGGGAAACUGCAGGUAAUACCGGAUAACAUCUCCGGAUCAAAGGUGUGAUUCCGCCUGAGGAUGAGUCUACAUCCUAUUAGCUAGUUGGCAGGGUAACGGCCUACCAAGGCGAUGAUGGGUAGCGGGUGUGAGAGCACGACCCGCGUCAUUGGGACUGAGACACUGCCCAGACACCUACGGGUGGCUGCAGUCGAGAAUCUUCGGCAAUGGGCGCAAGCCUGACCGAGCGACGCCGCGUGCGGGAUGAAGGCCUUCGGGUUGUAAACCGCUGUCAGAGGGGAUGAAAUGCAGGUGGGUUCUCCCAUCUGUUUGACAUAGCCUCAGAGGAAGGACGGGCUAAGUUCGU
RNAcentral lists this ribosomal RNA (463 nucleotides) under uncultured bacterium. Its description in RNAcentral is "bacterial SSU rRNA". It matches the Rfam family "Bacterial small subunit ribosomal RNA", at positions 29 to 506 of the family's 1533-position model. The record is from RNAcentral.